AUUUUCCACGUUUGUAUUUUUAGAAACAACUUCCAACGGACCAUCGAGUGAUAGAUCGACCAGCAAGGAAACCAUUCAUGCAACAUAUUCCAACAGACCAUCGGGUGAUGGAACAACCAGCGUGGAAAUUUCUCAUGUAACAAAUUUCAACAGGUUAUCGAGUUAUAGAACGACAAGUAUGGACACCUCUCAUGGUAAUGCAUAUUGGUAAUGUAUUUGUCAAAUUAACAUGGACCUAUAAUACGUAUUAUAGCUCCAUGGUAGUUUUUAAAGGUAGUAAGUCAAUCGCGAACCCUCUCGGUGAUAAUGAUGAAGAAUGGUUUAGGUUAGUUAAUUUAAGUCUAAUCUUUUUACAGCAUCACAGGUUAAUAAAAUGUAAUGGAAUUUGUUGACGGGCAAAGUAGUUUUUGGAGAUUUUUCAGAUUGCAUAAGAUGAGAAUAAUUCCAAGAAGGACAUCCUGAGUCAUCUACGAAUAAUCAUUUCACCACUGGCUUCUGACGUAGUUUUCAUGAAGGCAGGCUUUUCCUGUACGAUGGCAUACUGGAGAACAUGUUGCAUUCAAUCUUGAUAACCACUUGACGAACGAAAAGGAUAUGUCAUAAUCAUAGGAUAAUCAUAUUUUAAAGAUGUAUUGAAUCCAGUAUAACGAUUGCACAUGAAUGGACUACAACUACAUAUUUUAUCCGUUCCUAAAGUUGAUAUUCAUAACUUUUUUAACAGUGACGAUAGCAUCAAUCUUUAUUUCAUGACAAAAUCAGGCAGAUAUUAACUGUACAUUAAAAAAAUAUUGGAUUGUUUUUGGUUUCAUUGUUCUGAAUACACCAAGAAUAACCCAAGAAAAUUAUAAAAACAACGGGUUCUUUUGAUGGCGAAUCGGACAGUCACCGGAAAAAUUCCAUGGUUUUUCGAAAUUUGUACAGUGUUCUUUAACGUGCACAUGGGUCAUAAAAUUGCACGGUUUAAACGUCUCAUCCGAUAGACAGUGCGCUAGUGAAACUUACAUUUCGGCCCUCCGGUGAAGAUAAUGAUUACAGAAGAUAGAUUUUAAUCCGAGACAAAGUAUACCUACAGAUAUCCAAGUUUCAACGCACACAUAGUUGCUAUUAUGAUCUAUGCAAUAAUAUAUCAACAAAAAAUAAGCAUAUCAACAGUAAUAUGUCACGUGAUUAGAUUGUAAAAUGUGAAAGGCAUUAAUUUAAUAAAUUGUCUUAUAUCACGUCAUGUUUUCAAAGGUUUGUAUAAUGUUUAUAAAUUAGUUUCAUAAAUUACUGUUAUUAUUAAUUAUUAUUAUUAAUUAUUAUCUUGUACUAUUAUUAU
Molecule: long non-coding RNA, 1318 nt
Organism: Anneissia japonica
Lineage: Eukaryota; Metazoa; Echinodermata; Crinoidea; Comatulida; Comatulidae
Exons: 4
Source: RefSeq, a predicted model, not a curated record